GCCUCUGCCUCCCGUCGGCCUCUGCAGUCCCAACGUCUGCCUCACAGCAGAUUCUUCACGCCCAGCAUCUACCUCACUGUGGACCCCCCAAGCCAAGCUCCCAACCUUUCAGCAGCUUCUACACACCCAGCUCCUGCCACCCAGUGGCCUCUUUAGGCCAAGCUCAUGCUUCACAAGGGCCUUUCCAGGCCCAACUUUUGUCUCAUGGCAACCUUCCCUGGCCAGAUUCCUGCCUGUCUCCCAGCAGCCUAGACAGGCCCAGGUCUUGCCUCACACUGGCCUCUCUACAUCCAGCUUAUGCCUCACGGUGGCCUCUCCAGGCCCAACUCCUGUCCCAGGACGUCAUCUCCGGGCCCAAAACUUACUCAAGUUAGACUCUCUAGUCCCAACUGCUGCCUCCUGGUGGCCUAUGAAGGCCCAAAAUCUCCUCAAGUUGACCUGUCCAGGCCCAGCUCCUGCCUCCUGUCAGCGUCUACAGGCCCAACCUCUGCCUCAUGGGGGCUUCUCCAGGCCCACCUCUUCCUCUUGGCUGGGUCUACAGGCACAACUGCUGCCUCACAACAGCCUUUUUUGGCCCAGUUCCUGUCCAGCUCAUGGCGGCCAAUGUAGGCCCAAAACUUCCUCAAGUCAAACUCUCCAGGCCCACCUUCUGCUUCCCGGUGGCAUCAACAGGCCCAGCUUUGACUUGAGAACAGCCUCUGCAGGCCCUGCUCUUGCCUCCCAGGGGCUUUUUCCAGGCCCAGCUCUUGCCUCAUGGCAGCUGCCCCAGGCCAAAUUUCUGCCUGCCUGCCAGCAGCCUCAACAGGCACAGCUCCUCCCUCACAGUGGCCCAUUUAGGCCCAACUCAUGACUGUGAGGCCAUUUCCAGGCCUAGUGCCUGCCUCGUGGCUGACUCUUGAAGCCCAAAACUUCCUCAAAUCAGGCUUUUGCCCAACUUCUGUCUACUGUCGGACUCUACAGGUCAGCCUCUGCCUCACAGUGGACCCUCCAGACCCAGAUGGUGUCUCACUGUGGCAUCCUCAGGCGAAGCUCCUGCCUUUCGGCAGCCUCUCCAGGCCCAGCUCCUCCUGCCUCCCAGUGGCCUCUUUCGGCCCAGCCCAGCUCAUGCCUCCCGGCGGCCUUCCCAAGCCCCGCUUUUGACUUUCGGUGGCCUCUGCAGGCCUCGACAAGGCCCAGCCUCCUGCCUCCCGAAGGCCUGCACAGGCCCAGCCUCUGCCUCACAGCGGACUCUCCACGCCCAGCUAGCUGUUGCUUCACUGCGGCCUCCCGAGUCCAAAGCUCCUGCCUCUCGGCCGCUUCGGCAGGCCCAGCUCCCGCCUGCCAGUGGCCUCUUCAGGCCCAUGGGGCUCAUUCCUGACAACGGCCUUUCCAGGCCCAGUUUUUCCCUUCCGGCGGCCUCUCCGGGCCCAGAACCUCCUCAAGUCGGCCUCUCCAGACCCACUUGCACCCUCCGGGCGUUCUCUCCGGGCCCAGCUCUUCUUCCUGGUUGGGUCUCCAGGCCCGAUUCCUGCCUCUCAACAACCUCUUUGGACUCAGUGCCUACCCAUCUCCUGGCGGCCUUGGUCGGCCCACAGCUUCCUCAAGCCAAGCUCCCCAGGCCCAGGUCAGGCCUCACGGUGGCCUCUCCAGGAUGAGCUCCUGCCCUCCGAUGGCAUCUCCAGGCCCCAAAUGGUCUCCGGUCGGUGGGCUCCUCCACGCCAAGGUUGGGCCUCCCGGCGACCGCCGCAGGCCCAAGUUGUCCUGAAGUCGGGCUCUCCCGGCUGCAUCUCCAGGCCGGACUCUGGCCCGACUCCAGGUCCCAACAACGUCUUUGGACUCAGCUCCUGCCCAGCUCCCAGCGGCCCUGGUAGGCCCACAACUUCCCUAAGCCAAGCUCCCCAGGCCCAGCUCAGGCCUCGCGGUGGCCUCUCCAGGCUCAGCUCCUGGCCCUCCGAUGACAUCUGCAGGCCCCAAAUGGCCUCCGGUCGGUGGGCUCCUCUAGGCCCAGCUUGGGCCUCCCGGCGGCCUCCGCAGGCCCAAAUCGUCCCGAAGUCAGUCUCUCCAGGCUUAGCUCCAGCCUCCCGGCGGCCUCUGCAGGCCCAAGUCGUCCUCAAGUCGGCCUGGAAGUGGGCCUGGAAGAGCAGCAAGUCGGCCUCCCUGGGCCCAGCUCCGUCCUCUCGACGGCCUCUCCAGGUGCAAAACUUCCUCGAGUCAGCCUCUCCAGGCCCAGCUCCUCCUGCCUCCCAGUGGCCUCUUUCGGCCCAGCCCAGCUCAUGGCUCUCGGCGGCCUUCCCAGGCCCCGCUUUUGACUUUUGGCAGCCUCUUCAGGCGCAGAACUUGAUCUCCAGUCGGCCUUUGCAGGCCCGGCCUCCUGCCUCUCGAAGGCCUGCACGGGCCCGGCCUCGGCCUCGGCCUCACAGCAGACUCUCCACGCCCAGCUAGCUCUCGCCUCACUGCGGCCUCCCCAGUCCAAAGCUCCUGCCUUUCGGCCACUUCGGCAGGUCCAGCUCCUGCCUGCCAGUGGCCUCUUUAGGCCCAGCUCAUUCCUCACGUCGGCCAUUCCAGGCCCCGUUUUUCCCUUCCGGCAGCCUCUUGGCCUCUAAUUUGUUUAUCUUUUGUGUAUAAAUCCCAAAAUAUUGAAUUUUGGAAUAUUUCCACCAUUAUGUAAAUAUUUUGAUAGGU
RNAcentral lists this long non-coding RNA (2661 nucleotides) under Homo sapiens (human). RNAcentral describes it as "non-protein coding lnc-OR4F29-1:8". Lineage: Eukaryota; Metazoa; Chordata; Mammalia; Primates; Hominidae. The record is from RNAcentral.